AUCCUGGCUCAGAGUGAACGCUGGCGGCAGGCCUAAUACAUGCAAGUCGAACGGCAGCACAGCAGAGCUUGCUCUGUGGGUGGCGAGUGGCGGACGGGUGAGGAAUACGUGGGAAUCUGCCCAGUCGUGGGGGAUAACGUAGGGAAACUUACGCUAAUACCGCAUGCGCCCUUCGGGGGAAAGCCGGGGACCUUCGGGCCUGGCGCGAUUGGAUGAGCCCACGUCGGAUUAGCUAGUUGGCGGGGUAAAGGCCCACCAAGGCGACGAUCCGUAGCUGGUCUGAGAGGAUGAUCAGCCACACUGGAACUGAGACACGGUCCAGACUCCUACGGGAGGCAGCAGUAGGGAAUAUUGGACAAUGGGCGCAAGCCUGAUCCAGCCAUGCCGCGUGUGUGAAGAAGGCCCUCGGGUUGUAAAGCUCUUUUGUCCGGAAAGAAAAGCGCCGGGUUAAUACCCUGGUGUCCUGACGGUACCGGAAGAAUAAGCACCGGCUAACUUCGUG
This 502-nucleotide ribosomal RNA is filed under the name uncultured bacterium. RNAcentral's name for it is "bacterial SSU rRNA". It matches the Rfam family "Bacterial small subunit ribosomal RNA", at positions 16 to 507 of the family's 1533-position model. The record is from RNAcentral.